GACGAACGCCGGCGGCGUGCUUAACACAUGCAAGUCGAACGGUAAGGCCCUUCGGGGUACACGAGUGGCGAACGGGUGAGUAACACGUGGGUGAUCUGCCCUGCACUUCGGGAUAAGCCUGGGAAACUGGGUCUAAUACCGGAUAGGACUCCUGGCUUCAUGGGUGGGGGUGGAAAGCUUUUGCGGUGUGGGAUGGGCCCGCGGCCUAUCAGCUUGGUGGUGGGGUAAUGGCCUUCCAAGGCGACGACGGGUAGCCGGCAUGAGAGGGUGACCGGUCACACUGGGACUGAGAUACGGCCCAGACUCCUACGGGAGGCAGCAGUGGGGAAUAUUGCACAAUGGGCGCAAGCCUGAUGCAGCGACGCCGCGUGAGGGAUGACGGCCUUCGGGUUGUAAACCUCUUUCAGCUAUGACGAAGCGCAAGUGACGGUAGUAGCAGAAGAAGGACCGGCCAACUACGUGCCAGCCGCCGCCGUAA
Molecule: ribosomal RNA, 478 nt
Filed under: uncultured bacterium
Lineage: Bacteria
Description: partial 16S ribosomal RNA
Rfam family: Bacterial small subunit ribosomal RNA
Source: RNAcentral